This 1257-nucleotide ribosomal RNA is filed under the name Cronobacter sakazakii. RNAcentral describes it as "bacterial LSU rRNA". It matches the Rfam family "Bacterial large subunit ribosomal RNA", at positions 1579 to 2818 of the family's 2925-position model. Lineage: Bacteria; Pseudomonadati; Pseudomonadota; Gammaproteobacteria; Enterobacterales; Enterobacteriaceae. The record is from RNAcentral.
ACGGUGCUGAAGUGACAAAUGCCCUGCUUCCAGGAAAAGCCUCUAAGCAUCAGGUAACAUCAAAUCGUACCCCAAACCGACACAGGUGGUCAGGUAGAGAAUACCAAGGCGCUUGAGAGAACUCGGGUGAAGGAACUAGGCAAAAUGGUGCCGUAACUUCGGGAGAAGGCACGCUGACAUGUAGGUGAAGCCCCUGCGGGUGGAGCUGAAGUCAGUCGAAGAUACCAGCUGGCUGCAACUGUUUAUUAAAAACACAGCACUGUGCAAACACGAAAGUGGACGUAUACGGUGUGACGCCUGCCCGGUGCCGGAAGGUUAAUUGAUGGGGUUAUCGCAAGAGAAGCUCCUGAUCGAAGCCCCGGUAAACGGCGGCCGUAACUAUAACGGUCCUAAGGUAGCGAAAUUCCUUGUCGGGUAAGUUCCGACCUGCACGAAUGGCGUAAUGAUGGCCAGGCUGUCUCCACCCGAGACUCAGUGAAAUUGAACUCGCUGUGAAGAUGCAGUGUACCCGCGGCAAGACGGAAAGACCCCGUGAACCUUUACUACAGCUUGACACUGAACAUUGAGCCUUGAUGUGUAGGAUAGGUGGGAGGCUUUGAAGCGUGGACGCCAGUCUGCGUGGAGCCGACCUUGAAAUACCACCCUUUAAUGUUUGAUGUUCUAACCUGGCGCCGUGAUCCGGCGUGGGGACAGUGUCUGGUGGGUAGUUUGACUGGGGCGGUCUCCUCCCAAAGUGUAACGGAGGAGCACGAAGGUCAGCUAAUCCUGGUCGGACAUCAGGAGGUUAGUGCAAUGGCAUAAGCUGGCUUGACUGCGAGAGUGACGGCUCGAGCAGGUGCGAAAGCAGGUCAUAGUGAUCCGGUGGUUCUGUAUGGAAGGGCCAUCGCUCAACGGAUAAAAGGUACUCCGGGGAUAACAGGCUGAUACCGCCCAAGAGUUCAUAUCGACGGCGGUGUUUGGCACCUCGAUGUCGGCUCAUCACAUCCUGGGGCUGAAGUAGGUCCCAAGGGUAUGGCUGUUCGCCAUUUAAAGUGGUACGCGAGCUGGGUUUAGAACGUCGUGAGACAGUUCGGUCCCUAUCUGCCGUGGGCGCUGGAGAAUUGAGGGGGGCUGCUCCCAGUACGAGAGGACCGGAGUGGACGCAUCACUGGUGUUCGGGUUGUCAUGCCAAUGGCACUGCCCGGUAGCUAAAUGCGGAAGAGAUAAGUGCUGAAAGCAUCUAAGCACGAAACUUGCCCCGAGAUGAGUUCUCCCUGA